AGAGUUUUGGAUUUGAUUUGCGUCAUCUGGAUUUGAUUUCCGACAGUUGGGUGAUCGGGUAGCCGAAACAGAGAUCCGACAACUGUAUAUUUAACAGCUGAUCACCACAGUCGCUACUAUUCCAUAAACCGUAUUCCAAAAACAUCCAUUCAUCUCUCAGUAACGAAUCACCUCCUUCAACAGAGUCACCACGUUCAAAGGAUGACAUGCAGUUACAAACUGAGAGAUGGAAUAUGUCCUGGACAAAAAAACCGUCCUCCAGGAGAGCUCAUAGUGAAGGAGGGCGAUAUCUGCUCAACCUGUGAAGAUCUUUAGAUCCUGAAUAUGACACAAUGGAUGGAAUCCUCCGAGAAAAUGUCUACAUUGAUGACCUUUAUGUUAUGACCACCUGGAAGGAUCUCCAAGUUGACCUACUGCGCUCCUUGCUGGAAACCUUCAGGUCAGAGGUCAUGCUGAUGUUUCCACUUAGAGCAGACAGACAGGUCCAGCUGAUCUCUACCUGCUUUGUGUGAGUGUCCUCGGUCUUUCUCACUCUGUGUUUUAAUAGGAUAGAGAAGAAAAGGAGAGGUUGAUGUGUCGUGUUUUGUGGAUGAUGAUGAUAACGUCUCUAUUCAGACAAUAUUUAUAGCUGAGAAACAGAAGCUCUUUCUGGACUCACUUCACCCUGAUGGUUUUGGUGAUGAUCUCUACAGAACAAUAUUUAGGUUGAUGCUACAGAAAUGAAAAGUUGCUCUGACCUUGUUCAAGGACAAGUGUGUUCUUUGGAUAGACUGUCUAACAGCAGCCUGUUAGGUUCUCAGGCUGAAAGGUUCAACAUGGAGCCUCAGAUUUAAAGUACCAGGAGAAUCUUUGACCCUGUCUGGAGAACUGGAGGAGACCUUCAGUUCUUUUCUCAGCAGAUGUCAGACAGCUGCUGCAGCAUUUCAUGCUGAUGUCUCCCCGGUGCUUACAGCUUUGGAGGGUCUCUGGUGUUCCAGCAGGAGUCGGUGCUCACCUCAUCAUCUCAGCUGUUCAGCAUUAAGCUCUGCAGCUUCCAGUGUUCAUCGACAGAUCGUUGUCUACCUUUAGAAUCCUUCAACCACGAGAACCAACAACCAACCAUCUCUGGACCUCUCUGCUCAGCUGCCUCACAGCCACAGACUCGGUUCUACCUGCUCACCGUGUCCUCCAGCUCCAGAAGGACAAAGGAACGCCGCUCACCUCCCAAUGUCUUAGACACCAUCUGCAAACCCCGGUGCAGCCUCUCCUCUCUUGGUUCUCCAUCUCUCCCAACCCCCCCUGCCAGCACGCUGACUCCAGAUUCAUCCCCAUCUCUAAAUAAAUCACUUCCUCACACACAGACAUGUUUCCAGCACUUGGGUCCUUCUGGCCUCGUGAAACCAUGACAACGACUUCAACAUGGACGGAGAUUCAGUUUCUGGACAGAAGAGGCAUUGCUGCUUCUGCAGGAACUCUGCAGCUGAUCUUCAGGUUCCAGAGACGACCACCUCCACACCUGAAGUCCAAUCAGACAGGAAGUGUCGGCAACAGGAAGAGAGGAGCAGUGAAGACAUUUGAUUCAGAGGAGACCCCCCCCCCCUACUACUGCUGUUACUGUUGUCUAAAUAAACUGUUAAUAAUUUA
Molecule: long non-coding RNA, 1623 nt
Organism: Oryzias melastigma (Indian medaka)
Lineage: Eukaryota; Metazoa; Chordata; Actinopteri; Beloniformes; Adrianichthyidae
Exons: 10
Source: RefSeq, a predicted model, not a curated record